This 487-nucleotide long non-coding RNA is filed under the name Cucumis sativus (cucumber). RNAcentral's name for it is "long non-coding RNA (CSAT_LNC002740)". The record is from RNAcentral. Lineage: Eukaryota; Viridiplantae; Streptophyta; Magnoliopsida; Cucurbitales; Cucurbitaceae.
UUCGGGAAGUUUUGCAUAAGAGGUACCAUGACCUAUAUAAUCUUGCUGUUGAACUGCAAGUCCCACAUGAAAACAACCCAGAAGCAGUAGAUCAAUCGUUAUCCAAUGAUGCGACUGACAAAGUUGAAGCGACCUUUGGUGGAAUUGCAAAAGGUGUUGAAGCUGUUUUGCAGAGGUUAAAGAUCAUUGAACAGGAAAUCAAAGACUUAAAGCAGGAGAUAAAAGGCCUAAGAUAUUAUGAGCACAGACUCCUUCUCGAGCUUAAUCGCAAAGUGAACUACCUAGUGAAUUACAAUGUUGAAAUUGAAGAGAGGAGAGUACCUAACAUGUUCUAUUUUGUUAGAACAGAAAACUAUUCAAGAAGGUUGAUUACUAACCUGAUUUCUGGCAUGAAUGCUCUCCGACUCCACAUGUUAUGUGAGUUCCGAAGGGAAAUGCAUGUUGUUGAAGAUCAGAUAGGCUGUGAAGUAAUGCGGAUUGACAAUAU